Molecule: long non-coding RNA, 1379 nt
Organism: Xiphias gladius (swordfish)
Lineage: Eukaryota; Metazoa; Chordata; Actinopteri; Istiophoriformes; Xiphiidae
Exons: 4
Source: RefSeq, a predicted model, not a curated record
CACAACAGGUCUACAAGUUUGUUAAAAUGUGAUCAUCUGACCAAGUGAAGUCAGCAAGAGUACUGUUUUCUAAAUUACAAACUCAGAGUACUGCAUCUUGUAUUCUGUGGACUUUGGACUCUCAAAUUCAACUUGCCAAGUUUGAACUAAGUACAUUAAUCAAGUACAAUUUUAAUGUGCUUGUACUUUACUUAAGUAUUUCAAUUUUAUGCUACUUUAUACUUCUACUCCACUUCAUUUCGGAGGGAAAUGCUGUACUUUUUACUCCACUACAUAUUUGUGAAAACUACUUUGCACAUCUUACAUACAAAAACAUAUAGUCAAGUUACAAAAUAUGAUACGUACACAGCAAUGUAGUAACAGCUGUGAUAUGUGGUCCCUCUUGAAAAUACACUUUAAUGUUUGAGAUGAGGGUUGACUAUGUGACUGCCAAUCCACCAAUAGGAAAGGAUUAAUAAUAUGUCAGAUUGUCUACCUGCUGAGCGUGGCUCUGGAACAUCAGGUACUGUUGGCACUGAUCCAGUCGACGUUUCUUCAAAGUCCAGAAAUGAAGGACUCUGUUUUCCCUCUGCAACAACUCACUGAGGAUGCCUGCGCACACAAAGACACACCUUAAUCAGUAAAAUUAACCCUUUACUGUCCGUAUGAUAUGUAAACUAAUUAACCCUGGUGUUCCUCAGGGCUCUAUCCGGGCUCCACUGUACUUCUCUAUUAUCACAAACUUAACACUAAACAUUUAAUUUGCAUUUCGAUGUGUGUGUGUAUGUUCGUUCACCUUUGACCUGUUGCUCUGGUACCCUUGAGUGCCCGGUGACCUCGGUAACCCCUGUUACCCCGGAGACGGUGACGCUGUGGCCGGAGAUGUUCGCCAUGGUGACGCUGUUGCGAUGGAUGUACUUGAGGAAAACUUCAGCGUUUCGUCUGGCAAGAGUGCAGGCCUGUUGCCAUGGAAACAAGAAAUCAAAGGCCUCCUUCUGUUCCAUGUGUUUGUUGAUGAGCGGCAGGAGCUGCUCUGGCUGUCUCUCUCCUCCUCCACACCAGUCCUCCUCCCUGCGGUACUCCUGCUCAAGACUCUCCAGGACCCCACACACCUGGAGAGGCAGACAGACAGUAACCUCUAUGGCCUGCUGGAGGCGCUCGUGCUCCCUCUGCAGCUGCUCAGCUUCAGACAAACAGCUGGAGUUCAACAUGCAAGAUGACAACAUGACCUCGCCCUCUGAGAUCCAACCCAGCACCUGAGACAGAGACAGAUGGGUGGACAGGUAGAGAUCAUCACCUUUAGUGCCCGGGUGUCACCUGGAUCUGCAGGAGGUGCUGCAGCUCCUCCACCUGAGAGGAGAGACCCCCCUCUGCCUCCGACAGCUCGAUACCUGAAAAAC